UUUUUGUUUCCUGUGACAAGUUUUGCUUAACUAGCACAAGAGCCAGCCAUGCAGAGAAGUGUGCUCCUAUAGUGCAAAACAGAAUCUAUUUAAGAAGUUGGAAUACCUGCCCCUCCAGAAAUGAUAAAGAAAUCCAAAGAGAAGAUGUGAAAAGCUCAUCUUCAGCGUGACAUCCCUCAGUGACCAGAAUUUUGAGCUGACAAAGACAGAAACUCUUUCAUUUCAUCAUAUGAAUAUAGUGGACUGAAGUAGAACCUCCAAUAAGACAAAUACUGGCAUUUCCAGAUGAGAAAGUACGCCUGCAAUAUCUGAAAGUCAUCUUUCAAAAAAACUUGAAGUCGGGAUGCACAACAAGAUGUCAAGUAUAAUGCCAUCAGCCUACUGAAGUUGCUCUGCUACCUUGCAAUCUCUUUUAAUAAAUGGCAAUAUACAGUUUUGUAAGAAAUAAAUUAAGACUUCACUUAUUUCUGCUUGAUAGAAAUCGGCCACAGAUGAAUUCCAUCACUUUGCUCUAUGAAUGCUAUACCUCUCCAGACAAGGUAGAGUUUGUUCGCAUCAUUCCAAAUGCAUAAUACAAGUUCCCCAUGACUAUCAGCUACUAUGUACAGUGGGCAUUCCCUCUGUAUAAGAUACAAACAGAUUUGCAUCUGAGUUCCUGGAACUAUGUUCAACCCAAGUGCUAUUUCUUGAACACCAUGCAGAAAUCAGACUUAAUACAUUUGCAGUCAGCAGUCUGCCCCAAAGUUCUUCAUGACUGUACAUAUCUCACAUCUUUGUACUCCACCCAGUAGGCUCUAUGAAAGACUGGUAUUAUGUGAUAGCUGUUUAUAUAUACACACUCUACUUGACUACAUACAAGAUAAGAAUUGUGAUAUACAAUCACCUGAAUAUACGAUAUUAUAUAACACAACCAGGAAGUUGAUUUUUUUUAACAACUAAGCUCAACUACAACACAAGAAAUGCUAAAUAUUGUACAGAAUAAGAAUUAAAAGUAAUGAGUGGUCAGAAUAAUUGAAAAUUGUUUAAAAAAAAAAAAAAGGGCAAAUCACAAAAUCAGAUAUGUUUUUGUAUUUUAUAGUUACUUCACUUCCCCAGUACACAUGGACUUUCUUUUUGGCAGUGGUGGUGCAGAUCCUGUACCCUAUCUAAAUGGAUUCCAUGAGAUCACAUUUUGAAUUGUACCAAGUAGCAGCAGGACAUCGUCAGACAUAACAAGAUUGCAAUGCUUUGAGCUCAGUAGUUUUCUGAAGAGAUAUCCAAGUCCAUAGUUAGUGCAUGGGUUUUGAAUGUUUACUUCAAAUACACAGAAAAGGGCUUCAGCAGGAUUUAAAACACAGAAGAGAGGUUAAAACUGUUCAAGCACGGCCAUAUCAUGCCAGGAAGUUACUUUGCAGAGGUACCCUUGGAAUGGCAUGCCAAAAGAUGUCAGAUUCUACAGGAAAUUAAGCAUCUGAUAGCUUCAAUUAUUCAAUCUCAUAUGUGGUAAUUAAAAAAAAAAAUUUGCAUCCUAUAAUUUCCCUUUCACCUCUGAACUUUAAAAAGAAAAAAAUGCAAUUGCUCAUUGUGUUUAUUUAAUCGUAAGUUUAACUGUUUAUUUGAUGACAAAAUGAGACUCAUGGACUCUUAUCAAAUGCUGUUUUUUGAAUCCGUGGAUCAUUUAGUAAAGCAGUAUUACUCCUGGACAGGAAGAAAGGUAAAGAGAAGGAGAAGUGCAUUGUUCCUUGUGCUGAAAUUGGCUGGCACGUUCUAGGAAAAUGCUUACUUUGUGACAAAAAUUCAGUAAGAUACUACCUAAUUACUUGAAUCAGUACUGCAAUGGACAUAUGAGAAAGGAAGAUUUAGGCAAGAAGUUAUAUAUUUAAAUUUUUCUGUGGUAAAUUAAGAAUCUUAAAGCUUGGAUCUCCAUAAUGACACAAUGAUUUUCAUAACAAUACAAUUUGUCGCAAACCACAACAGGAAAGUGACAUUCAGAUGUUCCAUUCAGCAGUAGCUAGCCCCAGAUAGGAGCUGGGGCAGUGGGGAAUUAGGUGCUAUACUUGCCUAAUGAAUCAUACCUGUUCACAUUACUCAGGCACAGUACUUGUUCAAAAUGCUACUUGCACCUCAGUAAUACAGGAAUGUUUCUGUCUGUAGCCAACAAAGCAGAGUGCUGAGCCUUCAAAAUAUGUUUUAAAAUAAAUAAAUAUUCAAACUAGAAGAAAAGUCUGACAGUGAAAGUUUGCAGGUGCAGAUUUCAACUUCUCAGCCAGAGCAAGACUGAUUGCUCCUUUUUAUGGAAAAAGAACACAAGUUUGGUUCGCUACUGGUCUUGGCGAACUCAUUUAUAUGAUUAUUGUGCGUAAGAGUGAUAAUUCAUGUAACAACUAUAGAAAUCACAUGAAUUUUUAAAUACAUAAUCAAUUUGCAAUUUCUUAAAUUAAGUCAGCAAAAUUUUUAAGCUGUUAAAUGAUAAUGAUAAAUGAGGUUGUUUAUCGCUCCAGGAGUUUAUAGCACAACUGUUGGUUCUUAUGACAAGUUUGUUUAUGUUAGUAUUGGUCCCUGCAUUAGCUCUGCAUUGUUCCAGCUACUUGAUAACAAAGAAAACAAAAACUGCCUUGCUGACAGACUUUUAUACCAUGCACUUCUGACUUAGUGUCUUCUUUACAAAAUGAUUGGAGCAUUUUCAGUUUUAAAUAUCAAAUGUCCAAAUAAGCAAAAACAUUAACAAGUAAAUAACUACAUCAACAGCACAAGACUUUUCAGAUAAAAAAAAGCCAAAGUUUAUCAUUUUCUAGUGCUUUAGAAUCUGUGAAAGUUGUUUUGCCACCCAGAGUCACUUCUGGAGGUGAUCACACGCUUUAACCAAUCUAUACUUUAUUGCUUUAUACAAUCUCUUCAGUAUAUUUACUAACUGAAAGAAAAGCAUUAUGCCAUUAGCAACUGUCUUUAAAAUAUAAAGUCAGUUGAGCCUUGGACGUAUACAGAAGGAAAGGAAAAACAACCUAUCACCCCAGACAUCACACUGACUGCAACAAAAGCCAGCCAUUUAUUCAUCUUAGUGAGUCAUCUCUACUGACUACGUUCAUGCAUUAUCUUUCUUGCAAAGUACAACGUGCAGAAGCAGGGUAUGGCUUCGCUGGAUUUUGAAUAUAUUGUGUUACUGAUGUAACCAACGUAAAAUAUAGAACUGCAACAUAUUUGGUAUUACUAAGAAGUAAUUAGGAAUCACUGUGUUGUGAUUAACCUGGUCUAAAUGGAAAGACUGAAUCCUUAAGGCUAGAGACAUACCUGAAGUAUAAGGGGCUAUUGAGAUUUUAUAACAGCAGCAGUGGUGAGCAAGACAAGCUCAAACAAUGAGAGUAUGUGAGACACGUGGAUAAAAUAACAGAAAAAGGUCUUUGUACUUAUCUAUCAGGUUUCCUGCAGAAAUCAUUAGGGACAGGAAUAGAAAGAAAAGUAGUGAGGAAGAGUGACAUAAAACUUCACAGUGAGCCACAGGCAGCAGAUUUCUUUAAAUGACAGUAAACAGGGCUCUCAGGUACAUUCAUUCCCAUAACACUGCAUUUCAUGAUGCAUACUUUAAAAUAAAACAAACAGACUUUUUCAAGUAGUACAUGGUGAAUUGUGUAGCAUCAUUCUUUUCUUUAAGGAAGGGUUUCUUUUCUUAACAUGUGUAUGACUUCCUUUGAAAGGGUUUCUCAAAUUUAUAAACAUACCCAUACUUACGAUCUAUUGGUAGAGGAGAAAAAACAACAUCCCAACUAAUGUACUAAUGACAUUCAACUUUUAGAACUUCACCUAAGGACAAGGUGAAAAUAAAGAACUAAUGCCUCUUGCAACAUCUAGUUCUUAGAUGUUUCAAAACCUCAUCUUUUCAGGAAAGCAACAUGCUAUUUCAGUUCAGUUGGCACAUGCCCAGAAUAUAACAAGACCUGAACCCUGGGUAUACUUUUAUCAAAUACCUUUCUUCCACAUUUUCUUUUUACUCCUACUCCAGAUCAUUUCAAAAGCUUGAGAGUUGCAAAAAAAACCUGAGACUUUACUCCCACAUUGCAAAUACCAAGUCAAAAGAAUAUGCUGACAAAUAUAAAGGAUAUUAGUAACCAAAACCAAUUUAUGAAUGAGUUUUCUUCUCUAAAGUACUGAUUUAAAUUAAUCAGAUUCCUUGAUUAUUUGUGGAACUGGUUAAAGAAAACAGCAGCCCUGGAUUUCCAGGACCCUGUAAUUUCUAUAAAUUCACGUUACUAUUCAUUACAGCAGGUGAACAUGUUUCUAUGCUGAGCCUUUGCGAGCAUUGAUUCAAGCUCUCUAAAGGCCAAGGUAAGGCAGGGUACACAAAAUUCUUGUUAUGAUGGUUCAGAGGCAUUCUGAUAACUUUGGAAUAGUGUUAUAUGAUAUAUGUAUAUAUGCACACCCAUAUACACACACGCGAUUCUUAAUUUGCCGUCUGCACAAAGGGUAAAAAAUAAUAAAAUGCCAUUGAAUGGGUAAGUUCUGCUAGCCUCAGUGUAAACCAAGGGAAAAUUCAUACACUACUAAGACAAAAUAAAAUACAGAGUCUCUCUAGGGUUUUAGGUUUAUAUUAAAAAGCACAACCAUUAACAUCUGUUCAAAGGAAACAAGGACUGAGCUAGCAAUAGUGUUACAUUAAGUCAUUAUGCAAACUGAGAAACUUCAGAAAGUUACAUACGGUAUCUACUUGAAUAAGCAUAAUACCAGUUAACCCAGUGCAUGCUCAGCUCUCAUAAAAGUCAUAUGAUCCCAACAGCAUUUUUUGCAUGGUGGCAAGUGAUAAUUACUAGUCUUCAAAUCAGACUGAAGACCAGAACUGUUUCUCAUUAUCACCAACCAGAUAAGAGUGGGCUAGCAUGCAGAGCCAAUACUCUGGUUUCAUUUUGUUUUUCAUAUUUUGAUAGUUAGGAUUCAGGGACCAAAAAUCAUUUGUUUCCCCCAUCUUUAUGUUCUUUAUUUUCCCCACUCCACUUUCUCUAAGGCUUCACUGAAAUAAAGAAAUAUUUCUGCUUAUUUUUCUUCCCUUCUGUUUAUUUAUGGUUUUACAAUGUUUCUCAAACAAUACUAAGGAUGUUGCCUUUGCACAUCCCACUACCCCAGAUCUGGGUUGAUACGGCCAGCAAUUUUACAGCACCGAGAUGCAGGAACAACACAACAGUAUAGAAGUUGAAUUAACAGCUAAUGACAACUGUAAUGCUAUAAAAAGUGAUGGAACGUAUAACAAUAAUAGCAGAGUAGUACAAUCCUAGGCUACAAUAAAUGAGAACAGUCCCAAAUGCUGCAGCCAUAGAUGCAGAAACAAAGAAAGGAAAAACUGCUUACCUUGGAAGACCUUCAGUAGGAAGUGACCUCCCACAAGAUACUCUCACCUCCACUGCUAACCCUUAAAUGAAAUCUGGAAAGGGGGGGGAUCCUGGUUCCAUGCUUUCCAAUUACUCAGGUGCUCUGCAUGCAGCUCAGCUCUACUGGGUUGGCCCUGCCUUUCCACCACGUGCUUGCUCAAUCACUGUUUCAGGCCAUGACUUAGCAUUUCUGCUACAACAGUGACAAACAGGCACUUACCAUAGAUGAAUCGACCCAGACAAAAAACAAUGAAACAGUAUUAGAGCAAGGAUUUGAACUUCAAAUAAAAUUGCAAGUGCCUUUGUACCAUCACCGCAUGUUUAGAAGUAAGACUACUUGCUUAACUCAGUGCCCCAAAUCUAAACCAAGAAAUUUGCAAGUGAGAUAACUUGCAAGAAGUCUGCCUAGAAGCAAGGUCCAUAUCAUGAAAAUUCAAAUAGACCAGCAAAAUGAUGCUAACAGCUUUCUUAUCAAAAGCAAGCCAAACAGAAAGAGUGAAAUGAGCCCAUGCAUACCAGACAAGUAGCAAGCAUUCAGGAUCCUCGUUUUAGAAAAAUGAGCUCUCGAUCUAUAACCUAGUUAGCCUCAUCUAGAGCAGAAGAACUUUCAAUAGCAUUAGGAUGGCAGUACUGUAGCAAAACUACCUCAGACUUAGAGAAAUAAUAAGAAAAAUUUAGAGGAGAUGCACUGGGUCCUGAAGCUCUCUCAUAAAGGAAUAAGCUUUCUGAACAUACUUACUUACAGCACAUGAAAAAACAUCAAGAUGGAAAUCCCAAAUUCUGUCAUGGAAAUAGUUUCUACUUCUCACUGAGUCAGAAGCACAUAGAGUUCGCAGCAGCCUUAUUGCAAUAUUUCAGAAAAUGCUCAUGCAGAAGUACUUGCCUUACAACACCACUGAUCUAUUGCACCUUAGAAAGUUUCCUGGGAACCCUAAGGACCAUGAAACCUCCAAAACAACAGACCCUCAUGCUUCCCUUCCACAGUCAGAAGCAAAGCUGAGAUACCUUAAAUUAAUGCCAGCUGUGGCUGGGUUGAAUGCUACAAGUUUCCAGAGAGCACUGACUUGUUUUUAUUUUUUCAAUCAAAUGUGCCUUUCUGAAACCAAAAUCUACCGUUCCUUGUCAAAUAAAACAGUGUCAACUUUUCUGCAAAGCAAAUCUUUGUUCACACACAGGAAGAGGUACAACUGCUGUAUAUUUUAUAUAUGCAUAUAUACUAUAGGCUGAGUUUAAUAUAUUAAAUAGACACAAAGUACCUAUUUAAAUAUAUUAGUAUGUAUGAAAUAGGGAAAUACAUAGUCGAACCAGGAGGUAAUAAUGCUUGUAUCUAUCAAGGAGAUGGUAUUUUUCCUCAAAAUAUUAUUAUUAUUAUUAUUUAAUAUUCUCAUUUCUCUUCUGCUGUUUGUCAGCUGAAGAACUACACUACUACUGUAAGUUUUCUUCUCCAAAACACUAGCUAGAUCAGUUCAUUUCUCUUGGCAACUUUGGGAGCUUGAUCUCUUCACACUUUCACCUUUGUUAGAGUAAUCCGUCCUUCCAACUGAUUCAUCCAAAAUCUACAGAGCAGAUAAAAGAGCAACCAGUUGAGUCUUGGGCUCCCAAAUCAUUUUUAGCUCUCUAUCUUUCAACAUAUCUUCUCCUUGAAGAAAGUUUAGUAAGUUUAUAUUCUCCCUUACAGGAAUGCAAUUUGUUUCAGAAAAGAAAAGAAAAAAAUCAAGACUAACAUGAACAUCUAUUACAACUCAUCUGUUAGGAUAAUAAAAUUUCUAGUGAGGUUAUAAUAGUAGCUUUACCUCAUUUAUCUUUUAAAAUCUCUUCUUCCUGUCUUGGAAGGCAACAACAACAUAAGAUCAAAGAUAUGCUAGAUCACAGAAUCAUAGAAUCAUAGAAUCACAAGGUUGGAAACCACCUAUAAGAUCAUCUAG
Non-coding RNA from Meleagris gallopavo (turkey), 7258 nucleotides. The record is from RefSeq and is a predicted model, not a curated record. NCBI's taxonomy places the organism in Eukaryota, Metazoa, Chordata, Aves, Galliformes, Phasianidae.